GCAUCCCGUUAAAUGAAGUGCUUGCACGGAUUUUAACAUCGGAUGAGUGGCGAACUGGUGAGUAACACGUGGGUAACCUGCCCAGAAGCAGGGGAUAACACUUGGAAACAGGUGCUAAUACCGUAUAACAACAAAAACCGCAUGGUUUUUGUUUGAAAGGUGGUUUCGGCUAUCACUUCUGGAAGGACCCGCGGCGUAUUAGCUAGUUGGUGGAGUAACGGUUCACCAAGGCAAUGAUACGUAGCCGACCUGAGAGGGUAAUCGGCCACAUUGGGACUGAGACACGGCCCAAACUCCUACGGGAGGCAGCAGUAGGGAAUCUUCCACAAUGGACGAAAGUCUGAUGGAGCAACGCCGCGUGAGUGAAGAAGGUUUUCGGAUCGUAAAACUCUGUUGUUGAAGAAGAACACGUUUGAGAGUAACUGUUCAGACGUUGACGGUAUUCAACCAGAAAGCCACGGCUAACUACGUGCCAGCAGCCGCGGUAAUACGUAGGUGGCAAGCGUUAUCCGGAUUUAUUGGGCGUAAAGCGAGCGCAGGCGGUUACUUAAGUCUGAUGUGAAAGCCUUCGGCUUAACCGGAGAAGUGCAUCGGAAACUGGGUAACUU
Molecule: ribosomal RNA, 608 nt
Filed under: Secundilactobacillus paracollinoides
Lineage: Bacteria; Bacillati; Bacillota; Bacilli; Lactobacillales; Lactobacillaceae
Description: bacterial SSU rRNA
Rfam family: Bacterial small subunit ribosomal RNA
Source: RNAcentral